RNAcentral lists this ribosomal RNA (252 nucleotides) under uncultured bacterium. Its description in RNAcentral is "partial 16S ribosomal RNA". It matches the Rfam family "Bacterial small subunit ribosomal RNA", at positions 57 to 305 of the family's 1533-position model. The record is from RNAcentral.
GCAAGUCGAGGGGUAACAGGAGAGCUUGCUCUUGCUGACGACCGGCGCACGGGUGCGUAACGCGUAUGCAACCUACCCAUAACAGGGAGAUAGCCCGGAGAAAUUCGGAUUAAUACCCCAUAAUGCAUUGGUAUUACCUGAUACUAUUUGCUAAAGAUUUAUCGGUUAUGGAUGGGCAUGCGUCUGAUUAGUUAGUUGGUGAGGUAACGGCUCACCAAGACGACGAUCAGUAGGGGGUCUGAGAGGAUGAUC